Molecule: transfer RNA, 63 nt
Filed under: Xanthomonas arboricola
Lineage: Bacteria; Pseudomonadati; Pseudomonadota; Gammaproteobacteria; Lysobacterales; Lysobacteraceae
Description: tRNA-OTHER
Source: RNAcentral
AUUGCUUAGUAGAGCUAACUGUUAAUCAGGGGGUCGUUGGUUCGAGUCCAACUUCGGGCGCCA